CGGGGUGUAGUACAACGGUAGUAUUUGCCCUUGGGGUGGGUAAGACCCGGGUUCAAUUCCCGGCACCCCGA
Non-coding RNA from Candidatus Nealsonbacteria bacterium RBG_13_38_11, 71 nucleotides. The record is from Rfam. NCBI's taxonomy places the organism in Bacteria, Candidatus Nealsoniibacteriota.